AAAACUACUCAGCGUGGAUUUUUGUAGGGAGGGGUGGGCCAGGCAUUUGUAAAGUAUCUUUAAAUUGCCGUGGCGUCCAAGAAAGAUUAAUGGAUGAAAAGUCUUGACUUCCAGCUCAAAGUGGCAGAGGAAAUUCUGCCAUAACAUGGUCUGCCGCUAAUCCCCAUCAGUGCAGAGCUGGAUGACUUUUUGCACUGUCUUAUCUCUCUAUUAAGGCAUCUAAUCACUCUUUUCCUGUUUACUUUCUCCCUAAUAUGCACAGUCUGUUAAUGAUAAAUAGUGCUGAAUACCCACCCACACCUCCAGCUGAGAGACUGAGCUCAGGGGCUCUCUGCCUGUGUGUUUGGAAGCCGUGCUUAUGCUGGGUGCUGCCUUGACGCCGGUUAUCCCAAAGAACACCCCCUUCUCACAUCUCAGCUCUCCGUGCCAGGCUGGAAUUCAAUCUGCCUGGCUUGCUGGGCAGCCCUUCAGAUCUGAGUAGGACUUCGGGCUGCUGCUGUCAAACCCACGGAGAAGAAAAACAAGCCCUGCCUGCCCGGCCCUGGCUGCUGGGCGGCCGAGACCUGCAGCUGCGUAGCCAUCCUGUCGGGAUUGUCGGUUCCAAGUGCUUCUUGCCGUCUUACAAAGGAAACCUGCUGAAUCAUCAGUGGUGGACAAAUACCGUGGCUGGAGCUGACGUUUGAUGGUGUUCCUGGUGGAGGAGGCCACUGUCCGUUCAACCUUUAGGCCUUCGUGGAGGGUCGCAGUGUUGUUGGAAAGAUUGGAUCAGCUCACAGCAUCCACAGGGCUCAGUGACCGUCUCAUUUAGACGUCCUCUUUGAAAACACAAGUGUCCUGUCAAGGAUUCCUACAACGCACUGAGAGCGCAUCAAUGAGCACUUCCCCGUCCCUGAAUGAUAAUUAAAGCAAAGAUUGACAGAAGGAAGUAUCGAGGGGCAAGGGAGAGAGGAUCUCGCAGGAAAUGGGUGAUCGCGCCAAAGACCUUGACUUCCUCACCUCCCAGCUUUGCCUGGGCUCAGGCCUUCAGGGGAAACUACGGUGUAUAGAGAGUUUUCUUUAUCUAAUCCCUUCUAAGGUGGGUACUAGAAACUUUCAGUUUCCGUAUGCAGCCUGCGUUACACUUCUGGACAGUGCUGUCACCGAAUGAGGAUCUCAGAGAUUGUCUAUUGUGACCACCCUGUAGAAACUGGAUGGACCUCAACCCAAAAUUUGGCUCAGAUGUUGAGACUGAUUAUGUCACAUAUCAAGAGGAGAUGAAAAGGAAGAACAAAGGAUGGAAGGAGUUGCUGGAGAACCAGAGAAAGAGCGCCUCCUAUAUUAUGGCCAACACAGAGAAUUCCAUAAAGAUUUGCAUGUGGAGUCAGCCCACAAUUGUCUGGCGAAUGGGAGAAGAUAGAUAUGAAAAGGUAAAAGCUGUGGAGAACACUCGAUGACUUAUAUUUAGCUUUGAACUGUUUUUGGUUGGUACCGUCUUUUGAAUAUGGGGAUUUUAUAGUUAAAACAAUAUCAACAUAUAUCAAGUAUGUGUUCUGUGCCAAGCCUGGGGUAAGCAAUUUCACAUUUCUGAUAUCGUCUCUGUUGAUACUAUUAUUUACUGUCUGAAGGGCUUCUUCACCUGGAGAGGAAUGCUUGCUACUAUCUAUCUUUUCUUUGAUGCUCAAUUUAUUAACUUUUCGGACUUUAUGAAACAAUAAGCAUUUCUUUAAUGAUUAAAUAAUAUUCCGCUAAAUAUUUAUACACUGCUUAACACAGCUAAGAAGUCAAAAUUUAGGAGUUUGAGAAGAUAUUUUCCCCCCAAAACUUAGGAACUUAUUUGAUUAAACUCUCUCUCUCUCUCCCUUUUUUUUUUUUUUGCUGAGGAAGAUAUGCCCUGAGCUAACAUCCGUGCCAAUCUUCCUCUAUCUUUUAGUAUGUGGGCUGCCAGCACAGCAUGGCUGCUAACAGAGUGGUGUGGGUCUGCACCUAGAAACUGAACCUGGGGUGCCAAAGUGGAACACGCAGAGUUUAGCCACUAGGUCACGGAGGCUGGCCCAGAUUAAACCCUUCUAAACAGUUAAUUUUCACAAGUCCCAUGUAUCAGAUUCUCUUAAAUGCUCUGAAUAACCUAAGAAGGAGAUAAAACACACACAGUAUCACAAUGAUUGCAGACCUUGUUCUUAACACUUACACGGUUGAUUUCAGUGUUGGAUUAUUUCUAGCCACAUCUGUUUCCUCAUUCUCCCUCUUGCUUCGCAGUAAUUUUACCAGACCAACUUAGACGGCAGUUCUGGGAUGCACCGGUGGAUUCUUGGUCCAGACGUGGAACCUGUUUUUUAAGUUCAAGAUGAGUUUAACCACAACCCAGGUGAGAUCGACGGGCAGCCAACAAAGGAUGGCUCAGCCCAUCCAAUCAAAAGACGUCAAAGCUAGACCAUGAGGAGGUCGAGGGAACUACUCCAAUAAAAGUUCAUGAAGGCCCUUGUCCAGUUUCCAGACUUGAGCCAGUUUUUGGACAGAACCUGUUGACUGAAGGAAAGGCAGAUUCUCCAGGACGAAGGAACUUGCAACACCACGCAGGUAAAUAUGAUAAUAAUUCCUCGGAUAAUAAUUCCCCAAAGGGCCUCCAAUGGUACUCAGGUAACUGGAUGAAGUUACUCUGGUAACUGCACACCCAAAUAUUUCAAACAGAGUUGGCAGCAGAGUCUCAGUUGACCUUGAUACCCGGGGUCCCUCCCUCUUAGACAGCCUAGGUCCAACAUACAUAGUCCAUUGAGUCCACGGAAGCAUCCAGAGGUCGUUUCCCUGGAACAGACAUACUUGGUAGUUUGUAGAACUGCCGUUUUAUUCCUUGGCUUCUAAGCUAAGGGAUAUUGUGAGGAAAAAGCCAAGUGGAAGCCUUUGGAACUGCUCUCCUCCUAAUGGUCACAUGGGCUAUUACUUUGUUGGCCCUCAAUGAGCCACACCUUCCAAUAGUCACACCUAUGUGUAGUCCCCUCCAGCAUCGACUCUGAGCUUGGGAAAAUGGAUGUGGGCAGGCAUGAUGCAAGCAAAGGCUGAGAAGAGUCUGCACGUGGUGGCUUGUCUUCUUGGAGUGCUUGCUCUGGGGAUCUGUUAGCCAUGGAAAGAAGCUCUAGGUAGCCACAUGAAGAGACGACACGGAAAGAGAGGCCCCAGCCUGCCAGCCCUCCCUGCUAAUGUGCCCACCACAUGAGCGAAGCUGUCUUGGACAUUCCUGCCAUCUGACUGCAUCUGCUUGAGAGACUCCAAGCAAGACCAGCAGAAGAACGAUCCAGUUCAGCCCUGUGAACCCACGCGUUGGUUCUAAGUAAUAAAAUGGUAGCUGUUUUAAUCCCCCACGUUUUGUGGUUAUUUGUUAUUCAGUAACAAGUAG
Equus caballus (horse) is the source of this 3370-nucleotide long non-coding RNA. The record is from Ensembl. NCBI's taxonomy places the organism in Eukaryota, Metazoa, Chordata, Mammalia, Perissodactyla, Equidae.